AAUAGAAAGACAAACAGGAUAUAGUGUCAACUCAAAUUAAAAGCAACGUAAAUUCUAAAACCAAUAGAAAUACAAUUUCGUGUGGUUAAAAGGCUUCCAUAUUUACAUGAAUGACUGGAGACAUUAUGUUUAUUUGGCUUGAGACUAGGAGUUCCAUGGCAAUGCUCAACAUUGGAAUAGAAUAACCUGUCACUAUUUACAAUAAUUUGAUCCAAUGUAAGUAU
Molecule: unclassified non-coding RNA, 224 nt
Filed under: Hevea brasiliensis (rubber tree)
Lineage: Eukaryota; Viridiplantae; Streptophyta; Magnoliopsida; Malpighiales; Euphorbiaceae
Source: RNAcentral